UACGGAGGGUGCAAGCGUUAUCCGGAUUCACUGGGGUUAAAGGGUGCGUAGGUGGGUUUGUAAGUCAGUGGUGAAAUCUCCAAGCUUAACUUGGAAACUGCCGUUGAUACUAUAAAUCUUGAAUGUUGUGGAGGUGAGCGGAAUAUGUCAUGUAGCGGUGAAAUGCUUAGAUAUGACAUAGAACACCAAUUGCGAAGGCAGCUUACUACCCGAAUAUUGACACUGAGGCACGAAAGCGUGGGGAUCAAACAGG
This 253-nucleotide ribosomal RNA is filed under the name uncultured bacterium. RNAcentral's name for it is "partial 16S ribosomal RNA". It matches the Rfam family "Bacterial small subunit ribosomal RNA", at positions 524 to 776 of the family's 1533-position model. The record is from RNAcentral.